Molecule: ribosomal RNA, 513 nt
Filed under: uncultured Pseudomonadota bacterium
Lineage: Bacteria; Pseudomonadati; Pseudomonadota
Description: bacterial SSU rRNA
Rfam family: Bacterial small subunit ribosomal RNA
Source: RNAcentral
CAACGCCACGUGUGUGAUGAAGGUCUUCGGAUUGUAAAGCACUUUCGAACCGGGACGAAAACCCUGAGGCUAACAUCCUCAGGCUUGACGGUACCGGGAGAAGAAGCACCGGCUAACUCUGUGCCAGCAGCCGCGGUAAUACAGAGGGUGCAAGCGUUGUUCGGAAUUAUUGGGCGUAAAGCGCGUGUAGGCGGCUUUGCAAGUCGGGUGUGAAAGCCCUCAGCUCAACUGAGGAAGUGCGCCCGAAACUGCAGAGCUUGAGUGCCGGAGAGGGUGGCGGAAUUCCCCAAGUAGAGGUGAAAUUCGUAGAUAUGGGGAGGAACACCGGUGGCGAAGGCGGCCACCUGGACGGUAACUGACGCUGAGACGCGAAAGCGUGGGGAGCAAACAGGAUUAGAUACACUGGUAGUCCACGCCGUAAACGAUGAGAACUAGGUGUCGUGGGUGUUGACCCCCGCGGUGCCGUAGCUAACGCAUUAAGUUCUCCGCCUGGGAAGUACGGUCGCAAGACUA